GCGCGAGUGGCGAAAUUGGUAGACGCGCAGGUCUCAGAAGCCUGUGAGGUAAAACUUGUAGGAGUUCGAGUCUCCUCUCGCGCA
RNAcentral lists this transfer RNA (84 nucleotides) under Bacteroidota bacterium. RNAcentral's name for it is "Bacteroidetes bacterium (activated sludge metagenome) tRNA-Leu". It matches the Rfam family "tRNA". From Rfam's summary of the family: Transfer RNA (tRNA) molecules are approximately 80 nucleotides in length. Their secondary structure includes four short double-helical elements and three loops (D, anti-codon, and T loops). Further hydrogen bonds mediate the characteristic L-shaped molecular structure. tRNAs have two regions of fundamental functional importance: the anti-codon, which is responsible for specific mRNA codon recognition, and the 3' end, to which the tRNAs corresponding amino acid is attached (by aminoacyl-tRNA synthetases). tRNAs cope with the degeneracy of the genetic code in two manners: having more than one tRNA (with a specific anti-codon) for a particular amino acid; and 'wobble' base-pairing, i.e. permitting non-standard base-pairing at the 3rd anti-codon position. The record is from RNAcentral. RNAcentral also lists the same sequence under 1 other name. Lineage: Bacteria; Pseudomonadati; Bacteroidota.